CAGAUUUUAGCUUAUAUAAAAGCUUUUUAGUUACAUUAAUAGGAAAAUUUCAAAUGUUUUAUCUGA
This 66-nucleotide transfer RNA is filed under the name Osbornellus sp. EMHAU-2015-Zz052506. RNAcentral's name for it is "tRNA-Val". The record is from RNAcentral. Lineage: Eukaryota; Metazoa; Arthropoda; Insecta; Hemiptera; Cicadellidae.